GCCUGCCCACUGAGGAUUUAACGGCCGCGGUAUCAUGACCGUGCGAAGGUAGCAUAAUCAUUAGUCUCUUAAUUGGGGGCUGGAAUGAAUGGUUGGACGAGAAAUUAGCUGUCUUAGUUUUGAAAAUUGAAUUUAACUUUUAAGUGAGAAGGCUUAAAUGGGCUAGAGGGACGAUAAGACCCUAUAAAGUUUGUACAUUAAACUAAUUAAAGGUGGUUUAGGUUUAUAAAAUCUGCCAUUAGGGAAGUGUUUAGUUGGGGCGAUUGGGAUAUAAGUUAUCUAACUGUUUCUUUGUUUUAAUCAAAAAUAUUUGAGUUUAUGAUCCUUUUUUAGGAUUAAAGAGUAAAUUACUUUAGGGAUAACAGCGUAAUUUUUUUUGAGAGUUCUUAUCGAUAAGAGAGUUUGCGACCUCGAUGUUGAAUUAAAAUUUCUUUGUGGUGCAGCAGCUACAAAAGAAGGUCUGUUCGACCUUUAAAUUUUUACAUGAUUUGAGUU
RNAcentral lists this ribosomal RNA (495 nucleotides) under Cherax dispar. RNAcentral's name for it is "16S ribosomal RNA". It matches the Rfam family "Archaeal large subunit ribosomal RNA", at positions 1949 to 2680 of the family's 2987-position model. Lineage: Eukaryota; Metazoa; Arthropoda; Malacostraca; Decapoda; Parastacidae. The record is from RNAcentral.